AGGGACGCCAACCCACGCGCAGUUACCGCCAAGAAUUAGCCGCGAGUUGGGGUGCGCUUCCCUUGCUGCCUUUCUCUUCCUUUGUUCUGCUCUGUUUGUUGUCGCAGUACAAGAGAAGAGUGCAGAUAAAUAGUUUGUGAUCCCAGGAGAACACAAGAAUCCGUGAUAUGAAGAAAAAACUGGGAAAAGAGAAGAAAAAAGAAGAAAAGAGGAGGAGAAAGAGAAGAUGAAUGAAAUGAAGUCCAUCAUUACAGAAGAAGAGGAAGCAGAGGAAGAGGCAGCCCUAUACCUCUCAAGAAACUACAAGGUUCUUCACUAGUUCACAUCUGUUAUACCUGAAGCUGCACCGGAUGGGCACCAGUUGGCUCUCAGGGGAUGUGUUCUACUGAUCACACCCAUCAUCGGAGGGUCCAGGAAGGGCAGUUCUCUCUCUCCACGUUUACUGAUGAGGACUUGGCCGUCAGUGAUGCCCGCAGGCGACCAGCUGGUUAACCCACACUACCAGGAAGUGAGCAUCGGCUUUGGUUCUUAAUAUGGCAAUGAUUACUGAUACUUUACACAUGUUACGCGUUUUCAUGCAAGCACAAAACUGUUGAACAUUUCACUCAUGAUUACUGAGGAAUAACGAGGAGAAGAAAAAAGAAGAGAAGGAGGAGGAAGAGAAGAUGAAUAAAAUGGACUCAAUCAUUACAAAGCGAGAGGGAGCAGAGGAAGAGGCAGCACCACCACCACCACUACUACUACUACUACUACUACUACUACUAC
This is a long non-coding RNA of Scylla paramamosain (green mud crab), 765 nucleotides long. RefSeq lists it as uncharacterized. Lineage: Eukaryota; Metazoa; Arthropoda; Malacostraca; Decapoda; Portunidae. The record is from RefSeq and is a predicted model, not a curated record. The transcript is spliced from 5 exons.